RNAcentral lists this long non-coding RNA (233 nucleotides) under Nicotiana benthamiana. RNAcentral's name for it is "long non-coding RNA (NBEN_LNC004111)". The record is from RNAcentral. Lineage: Eukaryota; Viridiplantae; Streptophyta; Magnoliopsida; Solanales; Solanaceae.
GGGGGGAAAAUCUAAAAACAAAAAGAGUUUGGAGAGCCUGAAAUUUUUACUGUUCCAUUGAAACUUGGAAUUUUUCUGAAAAUAAAGCCCCCGUUCUGAUAUUCACCAUGGGUUGAUGUUUGGUUGUUAAAAGUUUUGAAUCAAGUUGAUCAAGGAUCAAUCGUCUGUUGGGUUUUAAGUUGAUUUAUGGGUUUUGUUUGUAAAAUCUGGUAGGUUUCUACUGCUGAUUGCCU